GGGGUCGUGGUGUAACGGCAGCACAGCAGGCUUUUAACCUGCACAGUGGGGGUUCGAAUCCCUCCGGCCUCA
RNAcentral lists this transfer RNA (72 nucleotides) under Planctomycetaceae bacterium. RNAcentral's name for it is "tRNA-Lys". It matches the Rfam family "tRNA". Rfam says of the family: Transfer RNA (tRNA) molecules are approximately 80 nucleotides in length. Lineage: Bacteria; Pseudomonadati; Planctomycetota; Planctomycetia; Planctomycetales; Planctomycetaceae. The record is from RNAcentral.